GGGGAAUAUUGGACAAUGGGGGCAACCCUGAUCCAGCAAUGCCGCGUGUGUAAAGAAGGCCUUCGGGUUGUAAAGCACUUUUAUCGGGAACGAAACAUUGUCGGCCAAUACCCGGCAAGACUGACGGUACCCGAGGAAUAAGCACCGGCUAACUCCGUGCCAGCAGCCGCGGUAAUACGGAGGGUGCAAGCGUUAAUCGGAAUUACUGGGCGUAAAGCGUGCGCAGGCGGUUUGUUAAGUCUGCUGUGAAAUCCCCGAGCUCAACUUGGGAAUUGCAGUGGAUACUGGCAAGCUGGAGUACGGUAGAGGAAGGUGGAAUUCCCGGUGUAGCAGUGAAAUGCGUAGAGAUCGGGAGGAACACCAGUGGCGAAGGCGGCCUUCUGGACCAGUACUGACGCUCAUGCACGAAAGCGUGGGGAGCAAACA
This 426-nucleotide ribosomal RNA is filed under the name uncultured bacterium. RNAcentral describes it as "bacterial SSU rRNA". It matches the Rfam family "Bacterial small subunit ribosomal RNA", at positions 356 to 774 of the family's 1533-position model. The record is from RNAcentral.